RNAcentral lists this ribosomal RNA (450 nucleotides) under uncultured bacterium. Its description in RNAcentral is "bacterial SSU rRNA". It matches the Rfam family "Bacterial small subunit ribosomal RNA", at positions 354 to 796 of the family's 1533-position model. The record is from RNAcentral.
GUGGGGAAUCUUGCGCAAUGCGCGAAAGCGUGACGCAGCAACGCCGCGUGGAGGAAGACGGUCUUCGGAUUGUAAACUCCUUUCAGUUGGGACGAAGCUCAAAGGGUUAAUAGCUCGAUGGAGUGACGGUACCUUCAGAAGAAGCCCCGGCUAACUACGUGCCAGCAGCCGCGGUAAUACGUAGGGGGCUAGCGUUGUCCGGAAUCAUUGGGCGUAAAGAGCGUGUAGGCGGUCCGGUAAGUCCGCUGUGAAAGUCGGGGGCUCAACCCUCGAAUGCCGGUGGAUACUGUCGGGCUAGAGUGCGGAAGAGGCGAGUGGAAUUCCUGGUGUAGCGGUGAAAUGCGCAGAUAUCAGGAGGAACACCUAUUGCGAAGGCAGCUCGCUGGGACGUAACUGACGCUGAGACGCGAAAGCGUGGGGAGCAAACAGGAUUAGAAACCCUAGUAGUCC